RNAcentral lists this ribosomal RNA (208 nucleotides) under Minutocellus polymorphus. Its description in RNAcentral is "partial Bacterial large subunit ribosomal RNA". It matches the Rfam family "Bacterial large subunit ribosomal RNA", at positions 2276 to 2483 of the family's 2925-position model. The record is from RNAcentral. Lineage: Eukaryota; Bacillariophyta; Thalassiosirophyceae; Cymatosirales; Cymatosiraceae.
GGGGUGGUCGCCUCCAAAAGAGUAUCGGAGGCUUUCAAAGGUCCACUCAAUCCGCUUGGUAACCGGAUGUAGAGCGCAAUAGUAGAAGUGGGCUUGACUGUGAGACUGACUAGUCGAGCAGGGUCGAAAGACGGAUAUAGUGAUCCGGUGGUUCCGCAUGGAAGGGCCAUCGCUCAAAGGAUAAAAGGUACUCCGGGGAUAACAGGCU